RNAcentral lists this non-coding RNA (148 nucleotides) under Thalassomonas actiniarum. Lineage: Bacteria; Pseudomonadati; Pseudomonadota; Gammaproteobacteria; Alteromonadales; Colwelliaceae. The record is from RNAcentral.
UUUCAAAUCAGCCAGCUUGGCCGCAGUGAAACGGGAAACAGGUGUAAUACCUUUGGUAUGAAUCCUGUACUGCCCCCGCAACGGUAAUUCACUUUACUUUACCGGCAAAGUGAUAAGUCCGGAGACCGGCCAGGUAUCGUUAAUCACA